CUGAUCAAUUAAAAAAAAAAAAAAAAAAAGUAAAGAAAAAAAGAAAGAAAAAGAAAAAACCUAUCGAAUAAUAUUUAAGAAUAAAAUUGUCCUGAUUGUAUCAUAUAAGUGAUUCUCUAUUUCGACUUUUCUCUCGAAUUUUUCAUAUAUUUUUAUUAUUGUUAUAAACACAUUGAUACACACAUACACACAUAUCAUAUCGUUUUAAUCUUAGGUAUAGAUAUAAUUGUUAAAAUAACAUAAUUCAUUUAUUGCCAAAAUUUAAAUAUUUUAAAUUGUGAAUAACUAAAAAGUGAGUGCAAUAGAUUUUUUUUUUCUUUGGUUACAAGAAUGACCAAUGAAUGACUUGUAUUUGAUACGAUAUUACGAUUAUCGAAAUUAUUGCUUUCGAUUAUCGAAAUCAUUCUAGAAGUUGUCGUUAACAAUAAUUAUAGAUUGCAAUGGAUAGCUAAAAGUAUAUAUCUAUUACGUAAAUUCUCGUGAUAAUAUUUAUUGUAUAUUUUGCCUUGACUCCGUGUCUUCUUUACUGUAUACAUACUGUAUCCGGAUAUCUAGGUAUCUGAGGUAAACAACAUAAAAUUUUGACCUCCGCGUGAUCUGCUUUCUCGAUCAGUAGAAAUUUAGCAACACUCGAGGACGCAUCGUAUAAAAAGGACAAAGACGAUACGAUAUUACUUUUUGCUUUACAAGAAAAUUUCAUUUAUAGAUAUUAAUUUUAUGUAUCGUUAGUUUUCAAGAUAUCUUUUAAAUAUGCUUAGCUUUAUUAUUUCUUCAAAAUUAAAUCGGAUAAUCGUCGAAUUACGAGAAUGAGUGAGAAAGAGAGAGUGAGAGUGAGAUAGAGAGAGAGAGAGAGAGAGAUAAAGUGAGAGAAUGAUUUUCUUUUUGAAUUUAUGAUAUUUAGCGUGUGACGAAAUAUAUAUAUUUUUUUUAAUACAUAUGCAUCGAACACUUAUGUAUUCCUAGAUAUGAUAUCUAAAUAAUGUAUAAUUUUAUUUUAUUACUAAUUAUGUUAAAUCAAUACACAUGGAGACGUGAGAAACGUUUUAUUUUGAAGGAAAGAAUGUUAUAUCAUCCAGGAGUCGUAUAAUAUAAAUAAUCAACGACAGAUGGCGCAUCGAUAGAAGAAUUAGUUUCGAUCGUAAUAAAUCACGUUCGGUGAUAUUAUCCGUAGAAUAAUUCUUUUAUUUUAUCAUUUGUCGUUGAUCAUAGUUUCUUGAAGAUCUUCAAUAAGUGUUCAAUCAAAUAGAAAAAUAGAUAAAAUUCAAGGGACAAUACUGACGAAGAGAAUCAAUGUGUAUAUAUAUGUUUUUUUUAUAUGCAUAGUGUUACGCGUUUUGUAACUUAGGUUAGCUUUGUUAUAAAGUAAGGUUAGGUUUGUUAAAAAAUACGCUACAAAUGCGUACACCUGAUGUAUAGAAAAAAAAUACGUACUUACGAUCUUUACAUCGUUUCUAUUUUUCUUUUUUUUUUUUUCUUUUUUGUUACAUCACUAGUGCAUACGUCCUGGUAUUACUACUCCUUCGUGCCAUACGUGACAAGGAAUACAGAAGAAUCAUUUGUAUGGUGAUCAAGAGCAACAUAUUUUCUCGAUUUAAUGACGCUUUGCUAGUAAUGGCUCUCAUCGAUAUAGAACAAACCGUAUGUUGGGCAACACUCUGGGGAUUUGAAAAAGGGAUGGAAAAUGGUACGUCGUCAGGCAGAAUUCCCAGACGCGCGACCAAAAGUUUGAACGAUCGUGCAACAGUUGACGCACCCUCCUCGUCCAUUCUGGAAAUCCGCCCCUAUCGAUGUUGGAGGACGAGCUACGUUGGAGAACGCGCGUGCUAGAAAGAGAGGGAGGGAGAGAGGGACAGAGAGAGAGAGAGAGAGAGAGAAAGAGAGAUAUCGAAUGUUCCAUGUACGAGAAAGUAGACGUAUAACGUUGAGCUGGCCAGCUCGCCCCCAUUUCGGAAUACCAGCGUUAAAUUAUUCGAGACGCCUUCGGUGCAAGGAAUGGACCGGUGAGACGUUUUAAAGAGUCUCGAGAGUCGGACGACUAUAAAUAGGUGGACUAAGGAAGCGGUUAAAAUUAGUAUCUCGAGAGCGCCGCGGCACACCGUCUUAAGAGCGUCUCUCAACGCUACCACUCAUCCUUAGAAGUUCGGGCCGACCUUGCGACCCGAUGAAAAGGACAACGAGCGACGAAAAACGUUAGAGAACCAACUUGCCGCCCACUAACAUUCGAUUUCUUCUUGGAUCUAUCUUGAUCUUAUAUAGGGUGGACCGA
Vespa crabro (European hornet) is the source of this 2266-nucleotide long non-coding RNA. RefSeq lists it as uncharacterized. The record is from RefSeq and is a predicted model, not a curated record. Lineage: Eukaryota; Metazoa; Arthropoda; Insecta; Hymenoptera; Vespidae. The transcript is spliced from 3 exons.